This 271-nucleotide ribosomal RNA is filed under the name uncultured bacterium. Its description in RNAcentral is "partial 16S ribosomal RNA". It matches the Rfam family "Bacterial small subunit ribosomal RNA", at positions 85 to 353 of the family's 1533-position model. The record is from RNAcentral.
AAGAUGGCGACCGGCGCACGGGUGAGUAACACGUAUCCAACCUGCCGAUAACUCUGGAAUAGCCUUUCGAAAGAAAGAUUAAUACCGGAUAGUAUACGAAUAUCGCAUGAUAGUUUUUAUUUAAAGAAUUUCGGUUAUCGAUGGGGAUGCGUUCCAUUAGUUUGUUGGCGGGGUAACGGCCCACCAAGACUACGAUGGAUAGGGGUUCUGAGAGGAAGGUCCCCCACAUUGGAACUGAGACACGGUCCAAACUCCUACGGGAGGCAGCAUG